GACGAACGCUGGCGGCGUGCCUAAUACACGCAAGUCGAGCGGGGAUACUGAUGGAAGUCCUUCGGGACGGAAAUCUUUAUCCUAGCGGCGGACGGGUGAGUAACGCGUAGGAAACCUGCCCUCGAGUCCGGGAUAACCCGGGGAGACCCGGGCUAAUACCGGAUGCGGCCUGCGAACCGCAUGGUUUGUUGGUCAAAGAUUUUAUCGCUCGAGGAUGGUCCUGCGUCCCAUUAGCUAGUUGGUGAGGUAACGGCUCACCAAGGCGACGAUGGGUAGCCGGCCUGAGAGGGUGUACGGCCACACUGGCACUGAGACACGGGCCAGACUCCUACGGGAGGCAGCAGUAGGGAAUCUUCCGCAAUGGACGAAAGUCUGACGGAGCGACGCCGCGUGAGUGAUGAAGGUCUUCGGAUCGUAAAACUCUGUUGUUAGGGAAGAACAAGUAUAAGGCGAAUAACCUUAUACCUUGACGGUACCUAACCAGAAAGCCCCGGCUAACUACGUGCCAGCAGCCGCGGUAAUACGUAGGGGGCGAGCGUUGUCCGGAAUUAUUGGGCGUAAAGGGUGCGUAGGCGGUCUCUUAAGUCUGAUGUGAAAGCCCACGGCUUAACCGUGGAGGGUCAUUGGAAACUGGGAGACUUGAGUGCAGAAGAGGAGAGUGGAAUUCCAUGUGUAGCGGUGAAAUGCGUAGAGAUAUGGAGGAACACCAGUGGCGAAGGCGACUCUCUGGUCUGUAACUGACGCUGAGGCACGAAAGCGUGGGGAGCAAACAGGAUUAGAUACCCUGGUAGUCCACGCCGUAAACGAUGAGUGCUAGGUGUUAGGGGGUUUCCACCCCUUAGUGCUGCAGUUAACGCAUUAAGCACUCCGCCUGGGGAGUACGGCCGCAAGGCUGAAACUCAAAGAAUUGACGGGGGCCGCACAGCGGUGGAGCAUGUGGUUUAUUCGAAGCACGCGAAGACCUUACCAGGUCUUGACUNCCGUUGACGCUAUGGAACU
Molecule: ribosomal RNA, 999 nt
Filed under: uncultured bacterium
Lineage: Bacteria
Description: bacterial SSU rRNA
Rfam family: Bacterial small subunit ribosomal RNA
Source: RNAcentral